AUAUUCUUCUCCUUCCCUUCCUCUUGCCCUCCCUCUCUCUCUUUCUCCUCUCUCUCUGAACAUGAUAUGAGCUUUAAAUGGAUUCCAUUGUUCUUCAAGUUGCUUUUUGCUUAGUGGAUUUGUAUAGGAGACCAGGCUAAUGCUUUAUCCUUUUUAUAUAUGAUGUGUUCUUAUAUAAUGUUUUCUUUGAUACUGGUUAUGCUUUUUUCAUGCUUAUUAAAAUCCGAUCUAUGUUCAAUGAUGCAAAGGAUGGCUGACCAGUAUUUCAGAAAAGGUCAUCAAUAUUUUGCAAUAAAAGAAAAUCAAUUAUUCCUAUGAAAAUUUAAUUCUU
This 331-nucleotide long non-coding RNA is filed under the name Elaeis guineensis (African oil palm). RNAcentral's name for it is "long non-coding RNA (EGUI_LNC063919)". The record is from RNAcentral. Lineage: Eukaryota; Viridiplantae; Streptophyta; Magnoliopsida; Arecales; Arecaceae.